RNAcentral lists this long non-coding RNA (2029 nucleotides) under Fukomys damarensis (Damara mole-rat). RNAcentral's name for it is "lncRNA (ENSFDAG00000031853.1)". Lineage: Eukaryota; Metazoa; Chordata; Mammalia; Rodentia; Bathyergidae. The record is from RNAcentral.
GGGACAGAAGGGACAAGAGGAAAAGAGAAUAGAAGGAGAAAUGGAAGCAGUGCUUUUGUAAAUGAGGGGAAGAAGGGUCAAACAGAGGGGAGGAGAAUGGAGAAAAAAAGCAAGAUAUGUCCUGUACAGGCACAGAUUCCCUAUGAUGAAUGUUAUUGUGUAUAUCUAAAAUGUACUGAUCACACACACACACCCCAAAAAGUAAAAUGUCCCUCAGAGGCCGGCUGAUGGGCUUUUGGGCAGUGACGGAUGAUGAAAGCAUCAACCUCCUCCAUGCAUUAACCUGUUGGUGAGUUCAUAGCUGAUGGGCUGCUAGGAGGUAUGGCCUGCUGCAGGGAGUGAAUCAUGGACGUGUGACCUGGGGACUGUAUCUCAUCUCCCGUCUUGGUCUCUUGUCUCUGUCUCUGUUUCUUUCUCUUUCUCUCUCUCCCCUUUCUCUCUGCUUCCUGGCUGUCAUGAAGUAAGAAGCUGUCCUCUGCCACGCCUGCCUCUUGGAAUGUUUCUUUUUGCCUGUUCAUCGCGGACUGGACUUAACCUCUGAUAGAGUGAAGCCAAAAGAGAUGUUUCCUCCUUAAAUUGCUUUCUCAGAUACUGUGACGCAGCAAUGGAAAGGUGACCGGCGCACAGGCUAGGAGUCAACAAAGGGAGCCAGUUCCCUAACAGCUUUGUCUUGUAUUCCUGACCAACUCAGCGUCUAUGGGCCUUUUUACUGUACUUCCUGUGUACGGACUUUGAAGGUGGGUUCCACUGUAUUGUCGUACAUUGCUAAGGAACUCAUCACUCUUGUCUCAUUCUCAUCUGCCAUUUAAGAGGCAUCACAGCGUGAAUCUAGGCAGUAAUUUCCUAGGUUGAUGGAUUGGGGUUAAAAAGCAAGAGUUGUGUAAGGAGAACAUUUCUGUGUCUUUCCUUACCACGAGUGAAUAUCAGACCAUGAAACUAGAUGGUUCAGGUGACAAAAUGAUACGUGCGUGUCCCACAAGACUCCUCCAGGCUGUAAUGAAGGAAGCCAGAGAACCAGACGAUGUGCUCAGGCAGCAGAACGUUUUGCUUGAACUCGACAGCCUUAAGCCCUGGGGAUAUGCAAAGAUACAGAACAAACUUGGUGUCUCCACGAAGGAUCGAUACGUCUGGCUACAGACAGCUUUCCGUGUUCUUCCAUCUAAAAUUGUGUUCUGGACAGUCAGAAGUCUCCAGGAUGCAGAUGUGCCGCCAUAGUAUUGAGCUGCAGGCAGUAGCAGGGCAGUGUUUAAAAUAAGAGCUCAUCCUGUUUGUAUCUCUCAAGUGUGAGGAAACAAGACUGGCAGCUGGAAAGGAGAAGCAAACAAAUAAACAACUGUGAUUCUGUGGUAUCCAGGCAUGAUUUUCUCCUCGCCGAGCUAGAUUGGACCCAUUGCUGUGUGUGGUCAGCUUCCUGCUGCAGGGUGGGGCUGCUCUGGUCCAGAGCGGGCCACGCAAAUGACCUCGGUGGCGGUAUACCUGGGGUAGCUCUACUGCCUCUCAACAUAUGCAGCCGGGAUGUUCUUUCUGAUUUCUCAGAAGUGGAGUCCCUGGGAUAGCUGGGCAGGGGAAGAAAAGUGCACCAAGACAGCUGGAAGCCGGACUGCAAAAGAGAGCUGGGAGACCAUCAGACGCAGACAUAGAACUCAAGGAAAGCAGUAAUCUGAGGCUGUGUAAUCCGAGAAAUUGGAGGCAGCCUAAAACCUUUUAAUCUUCUUCCUGUUAACUCAGGCUCAUUAAACAGAUGCGUACUGCACCUUAGUGAGCACAAGUCAUUAAGGAGAAGUUGGAUUAUGUUAGUAGAAGUGUAGGUGAGGAUGUUACACAUUGUGAAAAAUAUUUCAUUCGAAAUGGGUAGAAAUAGAGGUACAAUAUAAGCUUGUGGUGGCAAACUCAGCUAGACUGCUGUAUUCCCAGAGCACAUCUGUGCAGAAGCAGAUGACUGACCAUCUGCUUUUCUUCAGGCCUGUAACCACAGUACAAGCUACUCUCAUCCUCGGGUUCCUUACCAUCUUUAGGGGAGACUCCAAUG